RNAcentral lists this ribosomal RNA (497 nucleotides) under uncultured bacterium. RNAcentral describes it as "partial 16S ribosomal RNA". It matches the Rfam family "Bacterial small subunit ribosomal RNA", at positions 28 to 507 of the family's 1533-position model. The record is from RNAcentral.
GAUGAACGCUGGCGGCGUGCCUAAUACAUGCAAGUCGAGCGAACAGAUGAGGAGCUUGCUCCUCUGACGUUAGCGGCGGACGGGUGAGUAACACGUGGAUAACCUACCUAUAAGACUGGGAUAACUUCGGGAAACCGGAGCUAAUACCGGAUAAUAUAUUGAACCGCAUGGUUCAAUAGUGAAAGACGGUUUUGCUGUCACUUAUAGAUGGAUCCCGGCCGCAUUAGCUAGUUGGUAAGGUAACGGCUUACCAAGGCAACGAUGCGUAGCCGAGCUGAGAGGGUGAUCGGCCACACUGGAACUUAGACACGGUCCAUACUCCUACGGGAGGCAGCAGUAGGGAAUCUUCCGCAAUGGGCGAAAGCCUGACGGAGCAACGCCGCGUGAGUGAUGAAGGUCUUCGGAUCGUAAAACUCUGUUAUUAGGGAAGAACAAAUGUGUAAGUAACUAUGCACGUCUUGACGGUACCUAAUCAGAAAGCCACGGCUAACUACGUG